This 459-nucleotide ribosomal RNA is filed under the name uncultured bacterium. RNAcentral describes it as "partial 16S ribosomal RNA". It matches the Rfam family "Bacterial small subunit ribosomal RNA", at positions 338 to 795 of the family's 1533-position model. The record is from RNAcentral.
CCUACGGGUGGCAGCAGUGAGGAAUAUUGGUCAAUGGACGCAAGUCUGAACCAGCCAUGCCGCGUGCAGGAAGACGGCUCUAUGAGUUGUAAACUGCUUUUGUACGAGGGUAAACGCAGAUACGCGUAUCUGUCUGAAAGUAUCGUACGAAUAAGGAUCGGCUAACUCCGUGCCAGCAGCCGCGGUAAUACGUAGGGGGCAAGCGUUAUCCGGAUUUAUUGGGUUUAAAGGGUGCGUAGGCGGAAUGCCAAGUCAGCGGGAAAAUCGCGGGGCUCAACCUAACUCCGCCGUUGAGACUGGCGUUCUUGAGUGGGCGUGAGGUAUGCGGAAUGCGUGGUGUAGCGGUGAAAUGCAUAGAUAUCACGAAGAACUCCGAUUGCGAAGGCAGCAUACUGGCGCCCCACUGACGCUGAAGCACGAAAGUGUGGGUAUCGAACAGGAUUAGAUACCCGGGUAGUC